GGUGGCUCAGUGGUAGAGUGCUUGCCUCACAUGCAUGAGGCCCUGGAUUUGAUUUUUCAGCACCA
Non-coding RNA from Dipodomys ordii (Ord's kangaroo rat), 65 nucleotides. NCBI's taxonomy places the organism in Eukaryota, Metazoa, Chordata, Mammalia, Rodentia, Heteromyidae. The record is from Rfam.